Acanthopagrus latus (yellowfin seabream) is the source of this 1562-nucleotide long non-coding RNA. RefSeq lists it as uncharacterized. The record is from RefSeq and is a predicted model, not a curated record. The transcript is spliced from 3 exons. Lineage: Eukaryota; Metazoa; Chordata; Actinopteri; Spariformes; Sparidae.
UAGGUUUUUUGCAGCUUUUGAGCAUUUUUCUCCCCAAAUUCCAUUAGACAUCAUGAUAAGAUCAUAAUCUUAAAUAUAUUUGGUCAUGAUGAUACUGUAGCAUCACUUGUGUUCGUACUUUUACUUACUUAGAAGAAUACAGGAAACACAGUCUGGACCUCCAGAACUCCUCUUUGGUUACAAGAUCCUCUCUAUUUUUGACAUCUCAAGGUUCACAGGGCCGGUCAGGGCGAUGGAGCCGUGGCUUACCUGGGUGGAUUUCCUUGGAUGGCGGCCUAAUCAUCUGGCCCCCAGUCAGACGCCGGCUGGGCCAAAGCUACGACAGCACAACAGAUGGGCCCUCAAAGGACCCACCACAUCUGCACUACUACAGGAAAGAUGGAGAGGAGGAUGAAGGGGUGGAGGGGGGGUAAAAAGAGACAGGAACUAAUUCCUCUCAUCUUCUGAUUUCACGCAAAUGAGUGCAAGGGAUGUGCAUAACGAGCUGGCGCCGGGCUCUGGCGAGGUAAGCGUAGAUCUGAGUCAUGAAGACGUUUGCUGAGGAUGGAGGGGGAACAAACGAUGCUCCACUCUCAUGCCGAAAGCUCUCAAUUAACAACGAGUAACUUUAAAUGAUUUAAGGGAAUAGAGCGGACGGCGGCGCGUUAUCACAAACAGCCUUGAUGUUGUUUGCUCAGCGCGUCCGGGCCGAAGUUACUCCUCCGUCAACAAAGCGGAACCGAGGCUGUUAAGAAAAGUUCCGCCGACGUUCUGGAUAAUGAGAGCUCUCCAGAAAUUCAAAAGGAGUGAGUGGUAAACUAUGAGCGGCGGCGGCUUUGUGUUCCUGAGAGCUGCCGCUUGUCUCGCCGAUCAGAAGUCUUCAGACUCUUCCUGCCAGCACAGAAUCAACUGGGGAUGUUUUUAACAGCGUCGCUGGCGUUCUGAAAUACUUUGAAAAUACUUUCUGUGCAGACGUAAAAAAAGAAAUAACAAGAGGAAUAAUUAUCAUCGUCGUCACUGAAGACUUGUCAGCUCCAAGUCGUUUAAGCCUGAAACACACCGGUCAUUUCCUGUUCUGAUGUUUUGGAUCACUGGCAUGAGACUAGCGCCACCCGAUGUUAAGGAGGCUUAUUGCAUCUCACGCAAGUGCUGAACGUACAUGCGACUGUGGAGCUGACAGCACGUCGAAACGGUUUGUUCAGUGCAACUUUUCUGCUGAACGGGUCAGACGAGAGGCAACACAGUGGUCGGAUAAAGGCAGGUGGCUGUUGGUUGGAGUCUGGAUGGUGUAUGGGGGCCUUUAGAUUGGACCUUGUGGAUGAUUCUGAUGCUACAGGCUCUUAACUUCUUAUAGACUGUGCAACAACAACAACAACCAUCUGAAGUUUACCCUCAUCUUAAUCCUGGAAAUUGCCGGCGCUGAUCGUCGCCUCUCGCUCAAGACCUCAUCUGUCUCAAGGUUUCUUCAAUGACAUCUUAAAAAUCCCCUCGACAGAAGUGGAAUAAAACAGAGGCAGAGAUGGAGAGAUGGCGAGCGAGGAAUAAAGGAACGGCGAGGCGGGAGAGAGGCGAAGUGCAAACUA